RNAcentral lists this ribosomal RNA (504 nucleotides) under uncultured Microdiplodia. RNAcentral describes it as "eukaryotic LSU rRNA". The stretch from base 154 to 307 matches the Rfam family "5.8S ribosomal RNA". Lineage: Eukaryota; Fungi; Ascomycota; Dothideomycetes; Botryosphaeriales; Botryosphaeriaceae. The record is from RNAcentral.
AAGGAUCAUUACCUAGAGUUUGUGGGCUUUGCCUGCUAUCUCUUACCCAUGAUUUUUGCGCACCAAUUGUUUCCUCGGCAGGCCUGCCUGCCAGUAGGACCCCUUUAAACCACUUGCAAUUGCAGUCAGCGUCAGAAAAACUUCAAUAGUUACAACUUUCAACAACGGAUCUCUUGGUUCUGGCAUCGAUGAAGAACGCAGCGAAAUGCGAUAAGUAGUGUGAAUUGCAGAAUUCAGUGAAUCAUCGAAUCUUUGAACGCACAUUGCGCCCCUCGGUAUUCCGUGGGGCAUGCCUGUUCGAGCGUCAUCUACACCCUCAAGCUCUGCUUGGUGUUGGGCGUCUGUCCCGCCUCUGCGCGCGGACUCGCCCCAAAUUCAUUGGCAGCGGUCCUUGCCUCCUCUCGCGCAGCACAUUGCGUUUCUUGAGGUGCGCGGCCCGCGUCCACGAAGCAACAUUUACCGUCUUUGACCUCGGAUCAGGUAGGGAUACCCGCUGAACUUAAG